RNAcentral lists this ribosomal RNA (510 nucleotides) under uncultured bacterium. RNAcentral's name for it is "partial 16S ribosomal RNA". The stretch from base 20 to 332 matches the Rfam family "Bacterial small subunit ribosomal RNA", at positions 47 to 358 of the family's 1533-position model. The record is from RNAcentral.
GACGAACGCUGGCGGCGUGCUUAACACAUGCAAGUCGAACGGAAAGGCCCUGCUUUUGUGGGGUGCUCGAGUGGCGAACGGGUGAGUAACACGUGAGUAACCUGCCCUUGACUUUGGGAUAACUUCAGGAAACUGGGGCUAAUACCGGAUAGGAGCUCCUGCUGCAUGGUGGGGGUUGGAAAGUUUCGGCGGUUGGGGAUGGACUCGCGGCUUAUCAGCUUGUUGGUGGGGUAGUGGCUUACCAAGGCUUUGACGGGUAGCCGGCCUGAGAGGGUGACCGGCAGAGUGGGGACUAAGAGACGCCCCGGACUGUGCGGGGGGGCGGCGGGGGGGAGUAGUGUGAGCUGGGGGGAGGCACGAGGCAGCACGGCGGGGGGCGGAAUGAGGGCCGGGGGGUGGUAACCCGGUUCCCCCGGGGCCGAGGGGAGCGUGGCAGUAAGGGAAAAAGCGCCACCGCCAAACUAGGGGCAAGAAGCGGUGGUAAUAGAAGAAAACAGCACACUUCUCAAC